GACGAACGCUGGCGGCGUGCUUAACACAUGCAAGUCGAACGGAAAGGCCCUGCUUUUGUGGGGUGCUCGAGUGGCGAACGGGUGAGUAACACGUGUGUAACCUGCCCUUGACUUUGGGAUAACUUCAGGAAACUGGGGCUAAUACCGCAUACGACCUCCUGCUGCAUGGUGGGGGUUGGAAAGUUUCGGCGGUUGGGGAUGGACUCGCGGCUUAUCUGCUUGUUGGUGGGGUAGUGGCUUACCAAGGCUUUGACGGGUAGCCGGCCUGUGAGGGUGACCGGCCACAUUGGGACUGAGAUACGGGCCAGAGUGCUACGGGAGGCAGCAGUGGGGAAUAUUGCACAAUGGGCGGAAGCGUGAUGCAGCAACGCCGCGUGCGGGAUGACGGCCUUCGGGUUGUAAACCGCUUUCGCCUGUGACGAAGCGAGAGUGACGGUAAUGGGUAAAGAAGCACCGGCUAACUACGUG
RNAcentral lists this ribosomal RNA (468 nucleotides) under uncultured bacterium. RNAcentral describes it as "partial 16S ribosomal RNA". It matches the Rfam family "Bacterial small subunit ribosomal RNA", at positions 28 to 507 of the family's 1533-position model. The record is from RNAcentral.